UACGUAUGUAGAGGUGCAACUAUUAUAAGUAGCUUUUUUGAGUGGAUAACGAUGAAAAAAAGUGAAAGGAAUAGUUGCCGAAAUCAAUAAAAAGUCAUUUUUAUUGGUUGGGGGCGUCUUUGAAAGAAACGUCACUGUCAUAGUAUUUUAUUCACUAUGGAGCGCUACUGGUUAG
This 175-nucleotide non-coding RNA is filed under the name Canicola haemoglobinophilus. RNAcentral describes it as "Haemophilus haemoglobinophilus Lysine sequence". It matches the Rfam family "Lysine riboswitch aptamer". Rfam says of the family: Riboswitches are metabolite binding domains within certain messenger RNAs that serve as precision sensors for their corresponding targets. Allosteric rearrangement of mRNA structure is mediated by ligand binding, and this results in modulation of gene expression. This family includes riboswitches that sense lysine in a number of genes involved in lysine metabolism, including lysC. The record is from RNAcentral. Lineage: Bacteria; Pseudomonadati; Pseudomonadota; Gammaproteobacteria; Pasteurellales; Pasteurellaceae.